Molecule: ribosomal RNA, 471 nt
Filed under: uncultured bacterium
Lineage: Bacteria
Description: partial 16S ribosomal RNA
Rfam family: Bacterial small subunit ribosomal RNA
Source: RNAcentral
UAGGGAACCUUCGGCAAUGGACGAAAGUCUGACCGAGCAACGCCGCGUGAGUGAAGAAGGUUUUCGGAUCGUAAAACUCUGUUGUUAGAGAAGAACGUUGCAUAGAGUGGAAAAUUAUGCAAGUGACGGUAUCUAACCAGAAAGGGACGGCUAACUACGUGCCAGCAGCCGCGGUAAUACGUAGGUCCCGAGCGUUGUCCGGAUUUAUUGGGCGUAAAGCGAGCGCAGGUGGUUUAAUAAGUCUGAUGUAAAAAGGCAGUGGCUCAACCAUCGUGUGCAUUGGAAACUGUUAGAUUUGAGUGCAGUAGAGGAGAGUGGAAUUCCAUGUGUAGCGGUGAAAUGCGUAGAUAUAUGGAGGAACACCGGUGGCGAAAAGCGGCUCUCUGGACUGUCACUGACACUGAGGCUCGAAAGCGUGGGUAGCAAACAGGAUUAGAUACCCUGGUAGUCCACGCCGUAAACGAUGAGUGC